RNAcentral lists this ribosomal RNA (446 nucleotides) under uncultured bacterium. Its description in RNAcentral is "partial 16S ribosomal RNA". It matches the Rfam family "Bacterial small subunit ribosomal RNA", at positions 338 to 795 of the family's 1533-position model. The record is from RNAcentral.
CCUACGGGUGGCAGCAGUCGAGAAUCAUUCACAAUGGGGGAAACCCUGAUGGUGCGACGCCGCGUGGGGGAAUGAAGGUCUUCGGAUUGUAAACCCCUGUUAUGUGGGAGCCAAUUAAAAAGAUAGUACCACAAGAGGAAGAGACGGCUAACUCUGUGCCAGCAGCCGCGGGAAUACAGAGGUCUUAAGCGUUGUUCGGAAUCACUGGGCGUAAAGCGUUCGGAGGCUGUUUCGUAAGUCGUGUGUGAAAGGCGCGGGCUCAACCCGCGGACGGCACAUGAUACUGCGAGACUAGAGUAAUGGAGGGGGAACCGGAAUUCUCGGUGUAGCAGUGAAAUGCGUAGAUAUCGAGAGGAACACUCGUGGCGAAGGCGGGUUCCUGGACAUUAACUGACGCUGAGGCACGAAGGCCAGGGGAGCGAAAGGGAUUAGAUACCCGUGUAGUC